AAUCCUUUAUGACCAUUUGCUUAAAGUAUUAAUCACCCAUCUAGGCAAACACGAAUGUUGGGUACAUACUAUGGCUGAAGUGUAUUGACAAAAGGCCCAGGGCUAUUCAUGGUAGACAGAAGUAAUGAGGGUAGGAGGAAAGUGGCUGCUUUGAAAGAGGAAGAAAAUGGGCUGGAGGAAUAGGGGUACCCUCACCAUGCUGGGAGGGGUCUCAAAAUUGGUAUUCAUUUCUGAGCAGCUGCUGGUAGGUCAGAGGCUUGGAAUUGGCAUGGUAAAUCUAAAACUGUCUCAGCAGUGGUUAGCUGACCUCACCCAAGUUCCAAGUCCUACUUUGCCUGAUCCUUUUUUCUUGAGCCUCAGAGCUAAAAUGUUCCUGAGCUCUUUCCUAUUGGCUGGGGAGGCCAAUUGAAGUUCCCUUGCCCAUGUUAGGAGGUGUACGCCUCCUGAACUAAAGAUAGAAACAGCUGGCCCUUCCAGGCAGCUAAAAGCCUCCGGACUAAGAGGUGUUCCCCACUCGGCAGCCAGACUCCUUGAAAUACCCUUUCAGUCAUUCUACCAACGCCUCCAUGUCUCUACUCUGUCAUAACAAAGGCUGCGGGCAGCACUUUGACCCCAAAACCAACCUUCCUGAUUCCUGUUGCCAUCACCCCGGGGUCCCAAUCUUCCAUGAUGCACUUAAGGGUUGGUCCUGCUGCCGGAAGCGAACUGUAGAUUUCUCUGAGUUCUUAAACAUUAAGGGCUGUACUGUAGGACCACACUGUCCUGAGAAGCUCUCUGAGGCCCCUCAACCUGAGGGCCCUGCCACAAGCAGCUCACUUCAGGAGCAAAACCCUCCGAAUAUGAUUCCAAAGUCAGCAGAGACUUUGCGCCUGGAGAGGCCCAAGUCAGAGUUGCCUCCAAAACUGCUUCCACUAAAUAUAUCCCAAGCCCUGGAAAUGGCACUGGAACAGAAGGAAUUAGACCAAGAACCCGGAGCAGGACUUGACAGUAGCCUGAUCCGGACUGGAGCCAGCUGCCAGAAUCCAGGAUGUGAUGCUGUUUACCAAGGCCCAGAGAGUGAUGCUACUCCAUGUACCUACCACCCAGGAGCACCUCGAUUCCAUGAGGGGAUGAAGUCUUGGAGCUGUUGUGGCAUCCAGACCCUGGAUUUCGGAGCAUUCCUGGCACAGCCAGGAUGCAGAGUUGGUAGACAUGACUGGGGGAAGCACCUGCCAGCAUCUUGCCGUCAUGAUUGGCACCAGACAGAUUCCUUAGUAGUGGUGACUGUAUAUGGCCAGAUUCCACUUCCUGCUUUCAACUGGGUGAAGGCCAGUCAAACUGAGCUUCACGUCCACAUUGUCUUUGAUGGUAACCGUGUGUUCCAAGCACAGAUGAAGCUCUGGGGGGGGACCAGCAACUACUCAGAAUUCCUGGAGAGGAUGGAGGUAUGAGUUUGAAAUGACGGCAAAGCAUACAAAUGGAAAUGCUGGCAGGCAGUUAAUUGUCAAUGCAAAACUGGAGUUCAUGAGACAAGUCGGCACUGAAGAUAGAUUUGAGUAUUAUCUGCAUCAAUCUGACACUUAAACAUUCAACUUAUAGCCCCAUAUGUCAUGCCGAUCUUCUGCUGUGCCUGGUGUCUUGGAUCUUGGAGCCUUUCCAUGGUUUUAUUGGUAAAAUGUCACCUUCUCAUCUGUAUCCUUCUCUGUACUAUACCAAAAUUUCUUCCCAACUACUAUUUCAGUUACCAUGUCUCAAAUGGCUUCCCUGCAUCUAGAGAACCCCCAGAACUUUUUGUCCUUUGGGGUUUGUACAUAUUUUAUAUAUUAUUUU
Camelus dromedarius (Arabian camel) is the source of this 1809-nucleotide RNA transcript. It is a transcript of the gene named integrin subunit beta 1 binding protein 2, with no coding region annotated. The record is from RefSeq and is a predicted model, not a curated record. The transcript has 13 exons. NCBI's taxonomy places the organism in Eukaryota, Metazoa, Chordata, Mammalia, Artiodactyla, Camelidae.